This 74-nucleotide transfer RNA is filed under the name Marmota monax (woodchuck). RNAcentral's name for it is "tRNA.Ala". Lineage: Eukaryota; Metazoa; Chordata; Mammalia; Rodentia; Sciuridae. The record is from RNAcentral.
GUAGGGAUGUGGCUCAAGUGGUAGCGUGCUCGCCUGGCAUGCACGCGGCGCUGGGUUCAAACCUCAGCACUACA